RNAcentral lists this ribosomal RNA (446 nucleotides) under uncultured bacterium. RNAcentral describes it as "SSU rRNA". It matches the Rfam family "Bacterial small subunit ribosomal RNA", at positions 26 to 518 of the family's 1533-position model. The record is from RNAcentral.
AGAACGAACGCUGGCGGCAGGCCUCAAACAUGCAAGUCUAGGGGGUGUAGCAAUACAUCACCGGCGGACGGGUGCGUAACGCGUGGGAAUGUACCUAUUGGUUCGGAACAACUGAGGGAAACUUCAGCUAAUACCGGAUGAGCCCGAAAGGGGAAAGAUUUCUCGCCAAUAGAUCAGCCCGCGUCCGAUUAGCUAGUUGGUGGGGUUAAAGCCUACCAAGGCGACGAUCGGUAGCUGUUCUGAGAGGAAGAUCAGCCACACUGGGACUGAGACACGGCCCAGACUCCUACGGGAGGCAGCAGUUGGGAAUCUUGGACAAUGGGGGAAACCCUGAUCCAGCCAUGCCGCGUGAGUGAUGAAGGCCUUCGGGUUGUAAAACUCUUUCGACGGGGACGAUAAUGACGGUACCGUAGAAGAGCUCCGGCUAACUUCGUGCCAGCAGCCGC